This 253-nucleotide ribosomal RNA is filed under the name uncultured prokaryote. Its description in RNAcentral is "partial 16S ribosomal RNA". It matches the Rfam family "Bacterial small subunit ribosomal RNA", at positions 523 to 775 of the family's 1533-position model. The record is from RNAcentral.
AGACGAAGGGGGCUAGCGUUGUUCGGAAUUACUGGGCGUAAAGCGAGUGUAGGUGGUUGCCAUAGUCAGGUGUGAAAGCCUUGAGCUCAACUCAAGAAAUGCACUUGAUACUGGGCGACUAGAGGACCGGAGAGGAUAGUGGAAUUCCCAGUGUAGUGGUGAAAUACGUAGAGAUUGGGAAGAACACCAGUGGCGAAGGCGGCUAUCUGGACGGUUUCUGACACUAAGACUCGAAAGCGUGGGGAGCGAACAG